This 569-nucleotide unclassified non-coding RNA is filed under the name Hevea brasiliensis (rubber tree). Lineage: Eukaryota; Viridiplantae; Streptophyta; Magnoliopsida; Malpighiales; Euphorbiaceae. The record is from RNAcentral.
GCGCAUCCCAGUCUUCCUCUGGUAAAACUUCUAAAAGUGCACUCAGUUGCUUCUGUUUCCUAUUGAAUGUUUCAACUAUCCGCCCAGAAACGUUUGUGUAAGUUUCAUUACCCAGUGUCAGGUACUCAAAAAUUUGACAAAGGGUAUCUUUAGAAACCUUAGCUUUUUCAGAGGCAAUUAAAAAGGUAAUAAAAUCUAAUAUGUAUUCGGUAUCUUUCCUUGUAGGCCAAAUGUCAGUACAUAUUUCAUCUUUAUUGUUAAUGGUACCACCAGUUUGGAAAUAACUCAGAUUAAGAAUGACUGCAAGGACAUCUACUACUUUCUGAACUAAGCUUAUGCCUUCAAUAGUUGAAAUGUUUACUUCAGUUGUUUCCGUCUUUGAAUCGGCUGGAUUUGAUGCAGGACUGUAACUUUCAUUUUCACCUUCUACAAAUGCAUAUCGCAAAACAUCCAAGGUAGCCUCUGUGUCAAUCUCUAACAGAGAGAGAAGGUUUGGGUUCGGUACAUUGUAAGGUAAGCACAUUGCUGUCGAAGAAUUUGGAGAGCUCACUUCCUCCAACAAAAAUUGC